This 879-nucleotide ribosomal RNA is filed under the name Triticum aestivum (bread wheat). Its description in RNAcentral is "partial small subunit ribosomal RNA". Lineage: Eukaryota; Viridiplantae; Streptophyta; Magnoliopsida; Poales; Poaceae. The record is from RNAcentral.
AUGGAGGGGGUGAUGGCGGCGAGCGCCGUGACAGGAGCGAUGAAAACGCUCCUCCCCAAGCUCGUCACCUUGCUGGAGACCAAGUACAAGCUGUGCAGACGUGUGAAGAAGCAGAUCUCCUCCCUGAGAGAUGAGAUGAGAAGCAUGAACGCUCUGCUCGUGAAGAUGGCCGGGGCGGAGAAGCUCGAUGUUCAGCAGAAGGACUGGCGUGACAAGGUGCGUGAGCUAUCAUAUGACAUGGAAGACUGCAUCGACAUCUUCACAAGUGAGCUCGACGGCGGUGAUGCUAAGGCUGGGCGUCUGCGCAGGCUUAGGAAGCUCAAGGCGCGCUUCAAGAUUGCCGUCCGGAUUGAAGAACUCAAGGCUCGGGUGCGGGAAGUAAGCGAUUGCCGCGUUCGGCUUGAGUUUCAUGACCACAGUGGUCGGCCUCAGGACCAUGUGGCCAUUGACCCUCGUGUUACGGCACUCUAUCCCGGACCCAACAGCCUUGUAGGCAUAGAUGGCCCAAAGGAGAUGCUCAUCGAAUUGUUGCAGAAGGAAGAGGAUGCGCAGCAACUUAAAGUGGUAUCUGUUGUUGGAUUUGGAGGCAUGGGCAAGACAACUCUCGUCAAGCAAGUUUAUGAUAGUAUCAAAAGUCAAUUUCACUGCACGGCUUUUAUAUCGAUGUCUCAAAAUCCCAAUAUUAUCGAGAUUUUGCGGAAGAUGGUCAAAGAGUUACUGCACUCUGGGGCUCCAGGAGCUGAUGAGGCAGAACUCAUCGAUAUCCUCCGGACAAAUAUGGAAAACCGAAGCGAGCAUCAAUGGCGAGGGGCGGCGGCCGAGCCACAACCGUCGCCGUCAAGAGCUGCAAUGCAGGUGGAGUUGUUGCAUGGGAACUAG